AGCAGCCGCGGUAAUUCCAGCUCCAAUAGCGUAUAUUAAAGUUGUUGCAGUUAAAAGCUCGUAGUUGAAUUUCGGGAUUGGCGCAUCGGUCGUGCCUCACGGGGUAUGAACUGGUGCAGUCAAUUUCUCACCUUCUGGAGAACCGCGAUGUCCUUAAUUGGAUGCCGCGGGGAACCCAGGACCUUUACUUUGAAAAAAUUAGAGUGUUUAAAGCAGGCAUUUUUGCUUGAAUACAUUAGCAUGGAAUAAUAAAAUAGGACGGCAUGGUUCUAUUUUGUUGGUUUCUAGGACCACCAUAAUGAUUAAUAGGGAUAGUUGGGGGCAUUAGUAUUCAAUUGUCAGAGGUGAAAUUCUUGGAUUUAUUGAAGACUAACUACUGCGAAAGCAUUUGCCAAGGAUGUUUUCACUAAUCAAGAACGAAAGUUAGGGGAUCGAAGACGAUCAGAUACC
This 450-nucleotide ribosomal RNA is filed under the name uncultured Glomeromycotina. Its description in RNAcentral is "SSU rRNA". It matches the Rfam family "Eukaryotic small subunit ribosomal RNA", at positions 569 to 1016 of the family's 1831-position model. The record is from RNAcentral. Lineage: Eukaryota; Fungi; Glomeromycota.